CCAACCAUGGCGAGGAGGGCUGCCAAGAAACCGCUCCCGACAGCUGCUACUACGGGCACACCUGGACGGCCACAACCUUCAGAGCCAACUCAGGUCACGGUGCUGCAGCUGUGUGCAAAGGCCUCCCGUGUCCUCUGCACUCCUGCCGGAAGACGGCAGUGAGGAGGAUGUGGCUAAAUGCAUGAGCCCACACCCCACCCUCACCUAAAGGACUCUCCUUACCUUUAACCUGAGGGAGCUUCUAAAGCCAGAGACCGACCACGGCAAAGGAAUCAAACUGUGGGUCAGAGGCUCGUGCUCUAAGCCUGUCCUUUCACCCUACCCGAAGUGGAAAGCCGCCUAGCAGUCCAUGAACCCAGAGAAGGAUGGGUGCUGCAGGUGCCACGUGUCCACCAGGCGGAGGAGACCCAGCUGGGCUCAGCAGGAGCCGUGGACUCUCAGCCACUGGAAAACCACACCACCUUUCUUGAGGUCUGCAGGGUGUCCCCUGAAAGGCAUACCCUGAGACUAGAAAGAACACUUGGCAACCCCUCCCAAACCGGCCCCUCACUGUUAACUGGGCCACACUUCAGCCAACACUUGACCUUCAUUCUGUCUCUUACUAAGUCACCAAGGCUUGAUGCUGGCCCACACAUCCCUCUAGACAAGCUGGUAGACAUGACAAGAUUCAGACAGGUCUCUUUCUUGCCAUCCCAAGGUCAGUUCACAUAAGACCAACCGGCCACAUGGAAACCAUCAUUGGGGCCACCUUUACUCCUAACACACAAGCCCAACUCUACUGCUGUCCUGGUUUACUAAUUCUCCCUACCCACCUCGGAAAGGUCAUUCACAGGAGGAACCAGGCAGGGUACCCUGCCCCCCCAGGCCGGCCAAGCUGGCUAGCAAGCUCUUCCUCCAGGAUUCACACCCCCCCCCCCCCGCAACAAAACCAUGACACAAGCCACCUGAGACAGAUAAGUCACCAGGCACGUGGAAGAGAUAUGGGUGGCAUCUCCUGGUCCAGAGAGGAUCAAGGCUCUUAGCUGGUUCAGAGUCCUCUUAGGACCUAUACCGUAGUGCCCUAAACUGAGUAAACGGGAAACUGAGGCAGGGUCUAAGGCGAGCUGAGUAACAGAGCCCAAGCACCACUGAGUUCAGGCAUUCAUCUCUCUUGGAGGUGGGGGAAGGGUGGGAGACGAGGCGAGUCUUGUGGAGUUGGGAGCUGGUAGCACCUCAUCCCACUGACAGUGAUGACCAAGGACACAGGCUAGGCCACAGUGACUAAAUCGGACGGACACCAGUCUAGGACUGCUCCGACAGCCUCCACCAGAGAUGAUUCUGAUGUGCCUGAAGUAUGAGGAGACACUCAGGCCCAGGGGACAGCAUCUGAUCGAUGACUGGACUUGGGAGAAAGGAUGGCAGGAGGCGAGUGUCAACACCUAGGUAGCAAUGUUCAAGCAGACCAGGAAGGGGCACUCCAGGGAUGGACCAGGUCUGGGGGAUCCAUAGACUACAUGUCACUCACCCCACCCCAGACUCUAGAAACACACCUGGCCCACAGUGGCACCCAGACUAACAGAGGCUGACCAGCUUACAAACCACCAUCGAGACCACUUCGAGAGCCACAGUUACGGCAGAGGGGCAGCCCACACUGCUCAUGCUUGGUGCACAAGCGGAACUGUCCCGGGUCAAGCCCCAACUAACAGUAGAGACACUGGUUCCAUUACAGUUAUGUAACAGUCUAGAAACCUCCCUCCGGAGGCUUCUGCCACACACACAAUCUGUUCCUUGACACCUGCCUCAGAAAGUUCUACAAGCAAGCAGUGGAGAAUCAGCAGAAGAAACCGGCCUCCCCCAGGUCUGUAGUGCAUGCUCAUGACUCCCACCCCAAACCAGGUGAAACAAGUUGCAGGAUGCGCAACCGUUACAAUGUUACAAUGUACCACACACUCGGCAGAGUAUCGGUCCCCUAAGAAGUUACCUCACACGAGUCUCAGGGUCUAGCAACCCAAGGAGCCAACAUAAACUGGGUUGUCAGCAGAUCCAGCUCCCUGAGAAGGCCUGAGGGGAGGGGGGUUUCGAUGUCUUUUAGAUCCGCAGGAACUGAGGCAAGCCAAGCUCACCAGUCUUGAAACGCACAAAGUACACACAAAUAUUUUGUUCUAGAGGCUCAGAAAAGCCAACGGGUUGAAUGAAUAGCUUCACACAAGAGCAGUCACACCUGAGGCAAUUCCAAACCAACGCCCCCACCUUGCUGUCACUGGGGACAUUAAACCCUAAAGGUCCUCUGGGAUGUGUGGAAAAUUUCUAAAUGAAAAUGACACCUUCCCGUGAGUACACAGGAAAGAAUUCUGCGUGCCAUCAAGCAGCUUUUUAGAAUCCCCAGGUGAUGCUCUGCUAACGUCCGCCCAGAAUUAAAACGUACUAGGUAACCUCAACACACACAGCACCCCACUUCUCAAUCUCACCUGAUGGCUAAGCUGUAUCACUAUCAAAAACCUACUGUCUCCAAAAAAAGGAAGGAAAAAAAAAUACCUUCAACCUGACCACACUAAAAUACACGAUUUAACUUAUCGGCAA
Long non-coding RNA from Peromyscus maniculatus bairdii (prairie deer mouse), 2559 nucleotides. RefSeq lists it as uncharacterized. The record is from RefSeq and is a predicted model, not a curated record. Lineage: Eukaryota; Metazoa; Chordata; Mammalia; Rodentia; Cricetidae.